CGGGGCGUAGCGCAGUCUGGUAGCGCACCUGUAUGGGGUGCAGGUGGUCGGAGGUUCAAAUCCUCUCGCCCCGACCA
RNAcentral lists this transfer RNA (77 nucleotides) under Methylocaldum gracile. RNAcentral describes it as "tRNA-Pro". It matches the Rfam family "tRNA". From Rfam's summary of the family: Transfer RNA (tRNA) molecules are approximately 80 nucleotides in length. Their secondary structure includes four short double-helical elements and three loops (D, anti-codon, and T loops). Further hydrogen bonds mediate the characteristic L-shaped molecular structure. tRNAs have two regions of fundamental functional importance: the anti-codon, which is responsible for specific mRNA codon recognition, and the 3' end, to which the tRNAs corresponding amino acid is attached (by aminoacyl-tRNA synthetases). tRNAs cope with the degeneracy of the genetic code in two manners: having more than one tRNA (with a specific anti-codon) for a particular amino acid; and 'wobble' base-pairing, i.e. permitting non-standard base-pairing at the 3rd anti-codon position. RNAcentral also lists the same sequence under 9 other names. Lineage: Bacteria; Pseudomonadati; Pseudomonadota; Gammaproteobacteria; Methylococcales; Methylococcaceae. The record is from RNAcentral.